CUUCUUCUAUAUCCCUUUUUCCUUUUGCUUACCCCGAAGUCAUCCCCGAAGGGAUGACGACCUGCACCCGCCGGAUCCGGAGAAAGCGAGCAAGAACAACCCACCGGCUGCCACUACUCCGUCGCUUGCGCUGGUCCGGCUUCCUCUCCCGCUAGAGACCAUCCCCGGUGCCACUUCUGCCGCAGCUCGUGCUUCAGAUUUGAAGAAAGGCGUCUGUGUUAGUGCAGCCAAGAAGAAGCAAGCUGCCGCCGCCACCGGUCGACGCCUCAUCAAGCCAUAUGCGGUCGCAGCUGCAGUAGACAGGAGUCGUCGACCUCCUUGUCUCCGAUGUUUACAGCUGCUGCAGGCCGUAACCAGAGUCUUCAUCCCC
Molecule: long non-coding RNA, 370 nt
Filed under: Setaria italica (foxtail millet)
Lineage: Eukaryota; Viridiplantae; Streptophyta; Magnoliopsida; Poales; Poaceae
Description: long non-coding RNA (SITA_LNC004959)
Source: RNAcentral